Molecule: ribosomal RNA, 253 nt
Filed under: uncultured bacterium
Lineage: Bacteria
Description: partial 16S ribosomal RNA
Rfam family: Bacterial small subunit ribosomal RNA
Source: RNAcentral
UACAGAGGUCUCAAGCGUUGUUCGGAUUCAUUGGGCGUAAAGGGUGCGUAGGCGGCGCGGUAAGUCGGGUGUGAAAUCCCAGGGCUCAACCCUGGAACUGCGCCCGAUACUGCAGUGCUUGAGGGAGACAGAGGUAAGCGGAACUGAUGGUGGAGCGGUGAAAUGCGUUGAUAUCAGCAGGAACACCGGUGGCGAAAGCGGCUUACUGGGUCUCUUCUGACGCUGAGAAACGAAAGCUAGGGGAGCGAAGGGG